UUUGAUACAAUGCAGAAAGAACUUUAAGUUGGAGCUGAUGAUGUUGAAGCAUUUGCUACUGACACAGUAAGAACUAAAAUAAUCUACUGAAAAAUUGAUCAGAAAAAAGUAGUUGUCAGUCAUGGCAUACAUCGGACAUUUGGAAAACAGCAGUGGCAGCAACUGUAAGACACCCUUAAUGCCUGGAAACAAACUCUGAACAAAUUGAAAAACGGCCUUUUGAGUCUUUCUGAUACC
This 237-nucleotide long non-coding RNA is filed under the name Homo sapiens (human). Its description in RNAcentral is "non-protein coding lnc-POU3F4-3:1". The record is from RNAcentral. Lineage: Eukaryota; Metazoa; Chordata; Mammalia; Primates; Hominidae.